Molecule: unclassified non-coding RNA, 238 nt
Filed under: Hevea brasiliensis (rubber tree)
Lineage: Eukaryota; Viridiplantae; Streptophyta; Magnoliopsida; Malpighiales; Euphorbiaceae
Source: RNAcentral
GGUAUGUAAUCCUUGAGUUCAAUUGCCCCUUUCCUCCUCUUAGAAAUCAAGAGAAUAAAGAAAUCAUUGAUAGAUUUUACCAUGAAAUACUUCAAGCAUGUUGAGAAAAUGUCAUAGCAAAGUCGUCCGGUCCUGGUGCCUUAUCUGGAACACAACGCUUCAGUGACUUAUCAGAUUUCAUCCUCUUCAAACUCCCUUAUCAACCAAAUUCUUUCUGCUGCAGAGAUUCUAGUUCUAU